Molecule: ribosomal RNA, 383 nt
Filed under: uncultured eukaryote
Lineage: Eukaryota
Description: partial 18S ribosomal RNA
Rfam family: Eukaryotic small subunit ribosomal RNA
Source: RNAcentral
CAAUAGCGUAUAUUAAAGUUGUUGCAGUUAAAAAGCUCGUAGUUGGAUUUCUGGUGGGAGCGAUCGGUCUGGCGCUUAGCGCGAGUACUUGCAUCGUCUCCGGCCAUCCUUAGGGAGAGUCUGUCUGGCAUUAAGUUGUCGGGCAGAGGAUCCUCAUCGUUUACUGUGAAAAAAUUAGAGUGUUCAAAGCAGGCUUAUGCCGUUGAAUAUAUUAGCAUGGAAUAAUAAGAUAGGACUUUGGUACUAUUUUGUUGGUUUGCGCACCAAAGUAAUGAUUAAUAGGGACAGUUGGGGGUAUUCGUAUUCCGUUGUCAGAGGUGAAAUUCUUGGAUUUACGGAAGACGAACUACUGCGAAAGCAUUUACCAAGGAUGUUUUCAUUAA